This 495-nucleotide ribosomal RNA is filed under the name uncultured bacterium. RNAcentral describes it as "partial 16S ribosomal RNA". It matches the Rfam family "Bacterial small subunit ribosomal RNA", at positions 28 to 507 of the family's 1533-position model. The record is from RNAcentral.
GACGAACGCUGGCGGCGUGCCUAAUACAUGCAAGUAGAACGCUGAAGGAGGAGCUUGCUUCUCUGGAUGAGUUGCGAACGGGUGAGUAACGCGUAGGUAACCUGCCUGGUAGCGGGGGAUAACUAUUGGAAACGAUAGCUAAUACCGCAUAAGAGUAGAUGUUGCAUGACAUUUGCUUAAAAGGUGCAAUUGCAUCACUACCAGAUGGACCUGCGUUGUAUUAGCUAGUUGGUGGGGUAACGGCUUACCAAGGCGACGAUACAUAGCCGACCUGAGAGGGUGAUCGGCCACACUGGGACUGAGACACGGCCCAGACUCCUACGGGAGGCAGCAGUAGGGAAUCUUCGGCAAUGGACGGAAGUCUGACCGAGCAACGCCGCGUGAGUGAAGAAGGUUUUCGGAUCGUAAAGCUCUGUUGUAAGAGAAGAACGAGUGUGAGAGUGGAAAGUUCACGCUGUGACGGUAUCUUACCAGAAAGGGACGGCUAACUACGUG